UACGUAGGGGGCAAGCGUUGUCCGGAUUUAUUGGGCGUAAAGAGCGUGUAGGCGGCCAGAUAGGUCAGCUGUGAAAACUCGAGGCUCAACCUCGAGAUGUCGGCUGAAACCAUCUGGCUAGAGUCCGGAAGAGGAGAAUGGAAUUCCCGGUGUAGCGGUGAAAUGCGCAGAUAUCGGGAAGAACACCCGUGGCGAAGGCGGUUCUCUGGGCAUUACCUGACGCUGAGGAGCGAAAGCGUGGGGAGCAAACAGG
RNAcentral lists this ribosomal RNA (253 nucleotides) under uncultured bacterium. Its description in RNAcentral is "partial 16S ribosomal RNA". It matches the Rfam family "Bacterial small subunit ribosomal RNA", at positions 524 to 776 of the family's 1533-position model. The record is from RNAcentral.